GAUGAACGCUAGCUACAGGCUUAACACAUGCAAGUCGCGGGGCAGCAUGGGGGUUGCUUGCAAUCCCCGAUGGCGACCGGCGCACGGGUGAGUAACGCGCAUCCAACCUGCCCUUCACCACGGGAUAACCCGGCGAAAGUCGGACUAAUACCGUAUGUUGUCCAUUGACGGCAUCCGAUUUGGACGAAAGGUUUGGCGGUGAAGGAUGGGGAUGCGUCCGAUUAGCUGGACGGCGGGGUGACGGCCCACCGUGGCGACGAUCGGUAGGGGUUCUGAGAGGAAGGUCCCCCACACUGGAACUGAGACACGGUCCAGACUCCUACGGGAGGCAGCAGUGAGGAAUAUUGAUCAAUGGGCGUAAGCCUGAACCAGCCAAGUAGCGUGCAGGAUGACGGCCCUAUGGGUUGUAAACUGCUUUUAUGCGGGGAUAAAGUGGCCCACGUGUGGGUUUUUGCAGGUACCGCAUGAAUAAGGACCGGCUAAUUCCGUG
RNAcentral lists this ribosomal RNA (490 nucleotides) under uncultured bacterium. RNAcentral describes it as "partial 16S ribosomal RNA". It matches the Rfam family "Bacterial small subunit ribosomal RNA", at positions 28 to 507 of the family's 1533-position model. The record is from RNAcentral.